This 253-nucleotide ribosomal RNA is filed under the name uncultured bacterium. RNAcentral's name for it is "partial 16S ribosomal RNA". It matches the Rfam family "Bacterial small subunit ribosomal RNA", at positions 524 to 776 of the family's 1533-position model. The record is from RNAcentral.
UACAGAGGUCCCAAGCGUUGUUCGGAUUCACUGGGCGUAAAGGGUGCGUAGGCGGUCGGGUAAGUCUGAUGUGAAAUCUCACAGCUUAACUGUGAAACUGCAUUGGAUACUAUCCGGCUCGAGGAAUGGAGGGGAGACUGGAAUACUUGGUGUAGCAGUGAAAUGCGUAGAUAUCAAGUGGAACACCAGUGGCGAAGGCGAGGCUCUGGACAUUUCCUGACGCUGAGGCACGAAAGCCAGGGGAGCAAACGGG